GACGAACGCUGGCGGCGUGCUUAACACAUGCAAGUCGAACGGAAAGGCCCUGCUUUUGUGGGGUGCUCGAGUGGCGAACGGGUGAGUAACACGUGAGUAACCUGCCCUUGACUUUGGGAUAACUUCAGGAAACUGGGGCUAAUACCGGAUAGGAGCUCCUGCUGCAUGGUGGGGGUUGGAAAGUUUCGGCGGUUGGGGAUGGACUCGCGGCUUAUCAGCUUGUUGGUGGGGUAGUGGCUUACCAAGGCUUUGACGGGUAGCCGGCCUGAGAGGGUGACCGGCCACAUUGGGACUGAGAGACGGCCCAGACUCCUACGGGAGGCAGCAGUGGGAAAUAUUGCACAAUGGGCGGAAGCCUGAUGCAGCAACGCCGCGUGCGGGAUGACGGCCUUCGGGUUGUAAACCGCUUUCGCCUGUGACGAAGCGUGAGUGACGGUAAUGGGUAAAGAAGCACCGGCUAACUACGUG
This 468-nucleotide ribosomal RNA is filed under the name uncultured bacterium. Its description in RNAcentral is "partial 16S ribosomal RNA". It matches the Rfam family "Bacterial small subunit ribosomal RNA", at positions 28 to 507 of the family's 1533-position model. The record is from RNAcentral.